This 248-nucleotide ribosomal RNA is filed under the name uncultured bacterium. Its description in RNAcentral is "partial 16S ribosomal RNA". It matches the Rfam family "Bacterial small subunit ribosomal RNA", at positions 529 to 776 of the family's 1533-position model. The record is from RNAcentral.
AGGUGGCAAGCGUUGUUCGGAAUUACUGGGCGUAAAGGGCGCGUAGGCGGUCUUGCAAGUCCUGUGUGAAAUCCCUCGGCUCAACUGAGGAACUGCACAGGAAACUGCUUGGCUUGAGUUCGGGAGAGGGAAGCGGAAUUCCGGGUGUAGCGGUGAAAUGCGUAGAUAUCCGGAGGAACACCGGUGGCGAAGGCGGCUUCCUGGACCGACACUGACGCUGAGGCGCGAAAGCUAGGGGAGCAAACGGG